Molecule: ribosomal RNA, 1372 nt
Filed under: uncultured bacterium
Lineage: Bacteria
Description: bacterial SSU rRNA
Rfam family: Bacterial small subunit ribosomal RNA
Source: RNAcentral
GAUGAACGCUGGCGGCGUGCCUAAUACAUGCAAGUCGAGCGAACGGACGAGAAGCUUGCUUCUCUGAUGUUAGCGGCGGACGGGUGAGUAACACGUGGAUAACCUACCUAUAAGACUGGGAUAACUUCGGGAAACCGGAGCUAAUACCGGAUAAUAUUUUGAACCGCAUGGUUCAAAAGUGAAAGACGGUCUUGCUGUCACUUAUAGAUGGAUCCGCGCUGCAUUAGCUAGUUGGUAAGGUAACGGCUUACCAAGGCAACAAUGCAUAGCCGACCUGAGAGGGUGAUCGGCCACACUGGAACUGAGACACGGUCCAGACUCCUACGGGAGGCAGCAGUAGGGAAUCUUCCGCAAUGGGCGAAAGCCUGACGGAGCAACGCCGCGUGAGUGAUGAAGGUCUUCGGAUCGUAAAACUCUGUUAUUAGGGAAGAACAUAUGUGUAAGUAACUGUGCACAUCUUGACGGUACCUAAUCAGAAAGCCACGGCUAACUACGUGCCAGCAGCCGCGGUAAUACGUAGGUGGCAAGCGUUAUCCGGAAUUAUUGGGCGUAAAGCGCGCGUAGGCGGUUUUUUAAGUCUGAUGUGAAAGCCCACGGCUCAACCGUGGAGGGUCAUUGGAAACUGGAAAACUUGAGUGCAGAAGAGGAAAGUGGAAUCCCAUGUGUAGCGGUGAAAUGCGCAGAGAUAUGGAGGAACACCAGUGGCGAAGGCGACUUUCUGGUCCGUAACUGACGCUGAUGUGCGAAAGCGUGGGGAUCAAACAGGAUUAGAUACCCUGGUAGUCCACGCCGUAAACGAUGAGUGCUAAGUGUUAGGGGGUUUCCGCCCCUUAGUGCUGCAGCUAACGCAUUAAGCACUCCGCCUGGGGAGUACGACCGCAAGGUUGAAACUCAAAGGAAUUGACGGGGACCCGCACAAGCGGUGGAGCAUGUGGUUUAAUUCGAAGCAACGCGAAGAACCUUACCAAAUCUUGACAUCCUUUGACAACUCUAGAGAUAGAGCUUUCCCCUUCGGGGGACAAAGUGACAGGUGGUGCAUGGUUGUCGUCAGCUCGUGUCGUGAGAUGUUGGGUUAAGUCCCGCAACGAGCGCAACCCUUAAGCUUAGUUGCCAUCAUUAAGUUGGGCACUCUAAGUUGACUGCCGGUGACAAACCGGAGGAAGGUGGGGAUGACGUCAAAUCAUCAUGCCCCUUAUGAUUUGGGCUACACACGUGCUACAAUGGACAAUACAAAGGGCAGCGAAACCGUGAGGUCAAGCAAAUCCCAUAAAGUUGUUCUCAGUUCGGAUUGUAGUCUGCAACUCGACUACAUGAAGCUGGAAUCGCUAGUAAUCGUAGAUCAGCAUGCUACGGUGAAUACGUUCCCGGGUCU